Molecule: small nucleolar RNA, 108 nt
Organism: Lathyrus oleraceus (garden pea)
Lineage: Eukaryota; Viridiplantae; Streptophyta; Magnoliopsida; Fabales; Fabaceae
Source: RefSeq, a predicted model, not a curated record
AAGUCGUGAUGAGGGAAAAGUCUCAUCAUAUCCUUGUACCUUUCCCAUGCGUCAAAGAGAGAUUAUCCAUCAACUUGUCUGAAACAAGUGAUUUGAUUUCUUAAAACU